RNAcentral lists this ribosomal RNA (295 nucleotides) under uncultured bacterium. RNAcentral's name for it is "partial 16S ribosomal RNA". It matches the Rfam family "Bacterial small subunit ribosomal RNA", at positions 337 to 629 of the family's 1533-position model. The record is from RNAcentral.
CUCCACGGGGGGCAGCAGUGAGGAAUAUUGGUCAAUGGGCGCGAGCCUGAACCAGCCAAGUCGCGUGAGGGAUGAAGGAUCUAUGGCUCGUAAAACUCUUUUAUAAGGGAAUAAAGUGCGGGACGCGUCCCGCUUCGCAUGUACCUUAUGAAUAAGGAUCGGCUAACUCCGUGCCAGCAGCCGCGGUAAUACGGAGGAUCCGAGCGUUAUCCGGAAUUAUUGGGUUUAAAGGGUGCGUAGGCGGCCUUUUAAGUCAGCGGUGAAAGUCUGUGGCUCAACCAUAGAAAUGCCGUUG